CCUGGAGUGAAGGACUUUCACAGCCCAGCUCUCUGGUAUGGACCCAAUGUCACUGACUACUGAUUCUGCUCAGGCCUCUGGAAAGCCCCUUUGGAAGUUGGGUGUAGCCAUGUGGCUUUCUUGAAUCAGUGAAAUGUGAGCAAAUUGAUGGUGUCGCUUCUGGGCAGAAGUGGUGAGAUCCAGGAAUCCGACAGGCCACCCACCCACUCCCUGCAUUCUCAUUUCCUGCCUUGGUAAUUGUAAAAGGAUGUUCUGUGAUGUUGUUGCCUGAAUUAGGCAGGGACAAUAAAUACAUUUUUU
This 300-nucleotide long non-coding RNA is filed under the name Homo sapiens (human). RNAcentral describes it as "non-protein coding lnc-PDE2A-1:1". The record is from RNAcentral. Lineage: Eukaryota; Metazoa; Chordata; Mammalia; Primates; Hominidae.